UACGAAGGGGGCUAGCGUUGUUCGGAAUCACUGGGCGUAAAGCGCGCGUAGGCGGCUAUGCAAGUCAGGGGUGAAAUCCCGGGGCUCAACCUCGGAACUGCCUCUGAAACUGCAUAGCUGGAGUCUCGGAGAGGAUGGCGGAAUUCCUAGUGUAGAGGUGAAAUUCGCAGAUACUAGGAGGAACACCAGUGGCGAAGGCGGCCAUCUGGACGAGUACUGACGCUGAGGUGCGAAAGCGUGGGGAGCAAACAGG
RNAcentral lists this ribosomal RNA (253 nucleotides) under uncultured bacterium. RNAcentral describes it as "partial 16S ribosomal RNA". It matches the Rfam family "Bacterial small subunit ribosomal RNA", at positions 524 to 776 of the family's 1533-position model. The record is from RNAcentral.